UGGGGAAUUUUGGACAAUGGACGCAAGUCUGAUUCAGCCAUGCCGCGUGCGUGAAGAAGGUCUUCGGGUUGUAAACCGCUUUUGUCAGGGAAGAAACGAGUUUCUCUAAUACAGAGACUUAUUGACUGUACCUGAAGAAUAAGCACCGGCUAACUACGUGCCAGCAGCCGCGGUAAUACGUAGGGUGCCAGCGUUAAUCGGAAUUACUGGGCGUAAAGCGUGCGCAGGCGGUUAUGCAAGACAGAGGUGAAAUCCCCGGGCUCAACCUGGGAACUGCUGUGGUGACUGCAUAGCUAGAGUACGGUAGAGGGAGAUGGAAUUCCGCGGGUAGCAGUGAAAUGCGUAGAUAUGAGGAGGAACACCGAUGGCGAAGGCAGUCCCCUGGACCUGUACUGACGCUCAUGCACGAAAGCGUGGGGAGCAAACA
This 427-nucleotide ribosomal RNA is filed under the name uncultured bacterium. RNAcentral's name for it is "bacterial SSU rRNA". It matches the Rfam family "Bacterial small subunit ribosomal RNA", at positions 355 to 774 of the family's 1533-position model. The record is from RNAcentral.